RNAcentral lists this transfer RNA (74 nucleotides) under Planctomycetaceae bacterium. RNAcentral describes it as "tRNA-Arg". It matches the Rfam family "tRNA". Rfam says of the family: Transfer RNA (tRNA) molecules are approximately 80 nucleotides in length. Their secondary structure includes four short double-helical elements and three loops (D, anti-codon, and T loops). Lineage: Bacteria; Pseudomonadati; Planctomycetota; Planctomycetia; Planctomycetales; Planctomycetaceae. RNAcentral also lists the same sequence under 3 other names. The record is from RNAcentral.
GCACCCGUAGCUCAAUUGGAUAGAGCGUCGGUCUACGGAACCGAAGGUUGCAGGUUCGAGCCCUGCCGGGUGUA